Musa acuminata AAA Group (dessert banana) is the source of this 9198-nucleotide RNA transcript. It is a transcript of the gene named E3 ubiquitin-protein ligase PRT6-like, with no coding region annotated. The record is from RefSeq and is a predicted model, not a curated record. The transcript is spliced from 19 exons. NCBI's taxonomy places the organism in Eukaryota, Viridiplantae, Streptophyta, Magnoliopsida, Zingiberales, Musaceae.
AAACGAUUCAACAAAAAUAAACCAGUACAAAAGCAAAAACACCGCUACCCGAGAGAGGUCGUUUGUUUGGAUUCUCGACGCCACCGAUAACCCCAUCAGAAGGGAAGGGAGAAACGAAGGGGGGCGAAGAGCGGAAGGAUUAGGGUUUCUCGUGAGAUCGUCGUGGACUCUCGAUCUCUCCUUCCUGCCUUCUUUCUUUCGUCUUCAUUUGUCGGCGUCGUCUCACCUCCGCAACCCUGGGGCGGGGAAGCUCCCGAUCGAGCCCCUGGAGUUGCGCCGAUUGGCUUCGCGUCAUGGCCGGCAUGGAGCUCGAUUCGCCGCGGGACACCGUGUUGUCUCCGAGAGAUCGCAUCGUCCAGAGACUUAUCACCAAUGGUGUUCCCUCCGAGGUGUUAGAGCAGUCUCAAAUGGGGCUUAUAUCAUAUCUCAAGGAAAACAAACCUAUGUAUCCCGUGUUGGUCUCUUCCAUCUUACCAACCGAAGAUGAUUUGUCGGAGCUGCGAAUCUCAUCAGAUGUGUCCAGCAGUGGCAACACUGAGGAUCUGUUUUGUGAGAGUAUGUCGUGGCUAGGGUGGUUGAUGUUCGAAGCUGAACCACAAUCAUCUCUUGAGAAUUUGGCAUCAGAAGCUGUUGGUCAGCGUGCUGUGUGUGGAGCCGUUUGGGGUCAGAAUGACUUGGCCUAUCGCUGCCGCACAUGCGAGCAUGAUCCAACCUGUGCUAUAUGCGUUCCAUGUUUCCAGAAUGGCAAUCACAAGGAUCAUGAUUACUCAAUUAUGUAUACAGGUGGCGGAUGCUGUGACUGCGGAGAUGUGACAGCCUGGAAACGUGAAGGAUUCUGUUCCAAGCACAAAGGAACUGAGCAGAUGCAACCUUUACCAGAAGAGUUGGCAAAUUCCAUCAGGCCUGUUCUAGAUGUUCUUCUCGUACUCUGGAAGGACAAAUUAAUACUCGCUGAAAACCAGAGGAAUCCAAGGGAACAUAACAAAACUGAUGUGUCUGCAGGGAUGGGGAAUAGGUUAUCUUCUGCAGUUAUUGAGAUGUUGCUGGACUUCUGCAAAUGUAGCGAAAGCCUUCUUAGUUUCAUAUCAAAGAAAAUGUUUGAGUGUACCGAUUUGCUCGAUGUUCUUGUGAGGGCAGAGAGGUUCUUGCACAAGAACGUUGUGAAGAAGCUACAUGAAUUACUUCUAAAAUUGCUUGGGGAGCCUGUUUUUAAAUAUGAGUUUGCUAAAGCUUUUACGAGAUAUUAUCCUGUUUCUGUAAGUGAAAUUAUCAAAGAGUGGACUGUUAAAGCAUUUGAGAAGUAUUCGCUACUAUCAACAUUCUCUGUGCAAUUGUUCACUGUGCCUACGUUGACACCACGACUUGUACGAGAGGUGAACCUGCUGGGUGUACUUUUGGGAUGCUUGAAGGACCUGUUCCUUUUUUGCAUUCAGGAAGACGGUCAAUUACAGGUAAGGAAGUGGGAACAUCUCUAUGAGACAAUAAUUCGUUUGGUGGAAGACACACGAUUUGUCCUGAGUCACAAAGAGGUUCUUGCAUACAUAACUCAUGAGAGACCUGAUAUUUCAAGAGCUUGGCUGAAGCUUUUAUCUCUUGUGCAAGGCAUGGAUCCCCAAAAGAGAGUAACAACUACCCCUAUUGAAGAAGAACAUGAGUAUCUUUCUGCACCUUUCGUGCUGGGACAUUUCCUAAGCAAAGUUCAUAAUCUUUUGGUGCAAGGAGCAUUUUCUGCUUUCGAAACCAAAGAAAGGAAGAUCACUUCUUUUUCUUGCCCAGAUUCUGAAUGGUUAGAUGAUAACGAAGGUUAUCGUCAUUCAAAAGUAGGCAGAAUUUCACAAGACAGCUCUGCUUGCAGUAUAAAUAGAACAAGCAGUGGAUUGGAUGGCUCAUCCCAACAUAGUGAUGUGAAGUACGGUGGUGUUGACCACCUAUCUGUUCCAUCACCUGCUAUUUGGUUGAUUUUCGAGUGCCUUAAAGCAAUUGAUGACUGGUUCUGCCAUGCAAGGAACAUAUCACUCUUUGUUGAUGAUAUGAACUACAGUAGUCUUAGUUGUUUUAGAAAGAAAUUAUUCAAGUCAAAAAAGGGUGCGAAUAGUAGCAAAAUUUUUGGGUUGUCUGUGUCUAGGCAGGGAGUAGAUAAGCAUCAGUCACUUCCUUCUGGUGAGCACCAUGAGGUCUCUGAUUUAAUGGACACCGACGGAUGCCUUGAACAUACAACUUCAAGUAGGAUAUCAGAUGAUAGUAUCGUGGAGGUAGAUUCUGGUGCUGAAUCAGAAGCAUUUGGUAUGUUAAAUAUUGCCGAUUGGCCUGACAUAGUUUAUGAUGUUAGUUCACAGGAAAUAUCAUUUCACAUUCCUUUACAUCGUUUGCUUUCAUUAAUAUUGCGAAAAGCGAUGGAAUAUUGUCACAAUGAGAUUGAAAAGCCAGAGAAGGCAAGUAGUGGCUUAUCACUUCCUUCAUCAGCAUGGGGUCAUGAGUUUUUUGGGCAAGUUUUGAAAGGCUUACAACCUUGUGGAUUUUCGGCCUUUCUGAUGGAGCAUCCUCUUCGGUUACGUGUGUUUUGUGCCCAAGUACGUGCUGGCAUGUGGCGCAGGAAUGGUGAUGCAGCCAUAUUUAACUCUGAGUUUUAUCGUGCUGUCCAGUGGUUUAAUCAAGGGCUAGAAUCUGAUCUUUUCUUGCUGCAAUGCUGUGCUGCAUUAGCUCCACCAGAAUUGUUUGUCGAGAGAAUUCAAGAAAGAUUUGGAUUAGUAAAUUAUACAUCUUUGAGUCUUUCAGAGUGCAAUGAGUAUGAGGCAGUUCUGGUGCAAGAGAUGCUUACUCUUAUCAUACAGGUUGUCAAAGAGCGCCGGUUUUCUGGCCUUUCUUCUGUUGAUAAUUUGAAGAGAGAAUUAGUUUAUAAACUCACUGUUGGUGAUGCCACCCGUAGCCAUCUGGUGAAGGCUCUUCCUCGUGAUCUUUCAAACAGUGAUCAACUUCAAAAUGUUCUGGAUAUGCUUGCCACAUAUUCGAAUCCAUCUGGCAUGAAGCAGGGUAAAUAUUCUCUUCGAAAAGCUUACUGGAAAGAGUUGGACCUGUAUCACCCUCGCUGGAAUUAUAGGGACUUGCAAGUGGCAGAGGAGAGAUAUUUUCAGUUCUGUAAAGUCUCUGCUCGAAACGUCCAGUUGCCACAAUGGACGAACAUUUAUAUUCCCUUGAAAACAAUUUCUAGAAUAGCUACAUCAAAAGCAGUCCUCAAAAUUGUCCGUGCAGUUUUCUUUUAUGCUGCAUUUGUGGAUGUUUCACUUGCAUCUCGUGCUCCUGAUGGAGUUCUUAUAACAGCUUUACACUUACUUUCUCUUGCUUUAGAUAUUUGUGGCUCACAGAGUCAAACACGUAGUACUAAUUAUGGUUCUGGUAUUGAUUUGUCACAUCCUGACCACUCAUUCAUGGAAGUUUCACAUUAUGUGGAAGAUUUACCUCCUAUACUGGCUCAUGCUACUGAACAACUUGACAUAGCUGCACAUGGUGAAUCAGCAUUGUGCAAAAACCAAAGCAUGUUAUCCUUGCUAGUUUUACUGAUGAGGAAAUACAAGAAAGAAAGUGACAGUCAUUAUUCUGAGACGAGGCAUUGUAACAUUUCAUUACUCGUCGAGACAUUAGUGAAGAAAAUUGCUGAACUGAACAUCGAUUGCUUGGUUAUGCUUCAAAGAAUAGCACCAGAAGUGGUCUAUCAUAUGCGUAAGCAGCCUGCAGAAGAUGCUCCAGAGAGGUCAGCAUCAGCUUCUGACGCUGAAGAGCGGCGGGCAAAAGCCCGAGAGCGACAGGCCGCUAUAAUGGAAAAAAUGAGAGCUGAACAAUCAAGAUUCAUGGCCAGUUUGAAGUCAACACCUAACAGUGAGGCAGAUGGCUCGAUAUCCAAAGAGGAAAAGUUAGACCACGAGGACAAUGUUUCUGAGGAAUCAGCAAUUGUUUGCUCUUUUUGUCGAGAUCCACACUCCCAAAGUCCUUUGUGUUUCCUGAUUCUUCUCCAGAAAUCCUGUCUUACAACUUUUGUUGAGAGAGCUCCUCUGUCCUGGGAAGAUGUCGGCCAGCAAAACGAAAUUCCUUCAACUGGUAUAGAAGGAUCAAAUGGUCCAGGUGGAUCUGAUUCAAAAAAUAUAGUGCAGUCAAUUCAGAAUGUAGGUGUUGAAUUCCCCUUUGACAUGGAACCUGCAGAAGUUGAUAGGUCUUUGGUCUUUCUGAAUGAACAACUGCCUGCUUUUAGAAACAUUCAACCACUUGAUGUCUUUCCUGGUACUGACACAGAACUUAGUGCAUCCCUUGAGAGUAUGGAGGAUGAUAUUUACCGGUCUAUUAUAAGGGAUAUGCACAAUUCUAAAUCUAUUUUAGAUACUCUGGAUGCUGAAAAGAAAUAUUUAACCAAGGAUGCUGUAUUGGGUUCAAGAAAAGGAAGCAUUGCAGAAUUUUUUGCGCUUGGCGAGUAUGUUUUAAGUCUAUCAAGAGAGUCCAAACAAAAUCACUCUUUCAUUUUUGGCCCUCAACGCAUUGUGAAUUUAGCAUCAAGGUCAACUGCUUCAAGUACUACGAUUAGUGGAUUUGGUCCAAGUGAUUGUGAUGGAAUUCAUAUUUCUUCUUGUGGGCAUGCUGUGCAUCGGGAAUGCCAUGAUAGAUAUCAGGUGUCUUUGAAGCAAAGAUACAUUGGGAAUCUUGGCUUUGAAGGAAGUCAUAUUGUGGAUCCUGACCUGGGAGAGUUACUUUGUCCAGUAUGCCGGAGAUUUGCGAACGCCAUCCUCCCAGCAUGCACUGGUUUCUCCAAUAAACUUUCAACGACAAAAGAAUCAGCCUUCAGCAGUUCAAUGCCAAAUGACGUUCCUUCAACCUCAUCAGAUAUGAACUGUAGCAACUUACACAUUGUUCUUGCAUCAUCUCUUCUUCAAAAUACAGCAAAAAUUGUUGGACAGUGCAGAAAUCUAAAGGUUUUGUCUGGAAAAAUUAAUGAGACCAUGAAUUCAGUUUUAGAGCCUUCCCUCAGAAAAUUGUAUAUGCUGUAUUAUUCUCACAGUUACAGUAGUUUGUCAGCCCCUGGUUGGCUCAGUCGAUCCUUAAUUCUAUGGGACACACUUAGGUACUCAGUUACAGCUACAGAAAUUGCUGCCCGGGCAAAGUUGAACACAAAUUCACUUGGAUCUCAAUCUUGCUUAGAAUCUUUGACUGAGGAACUUCGCUCUUCUAGUGGGUAUAUAAUGUCAGUUCUGGUCCAUGUUGCUCAGUCUGCUGGCAGUUCUAAUUGUCUUGAAGUUCUCUUGAGGUUCAGCAGUCUUCAACUUCUAGCAGGGUCUAUUUGUUCUGGUGUGUCCGGUGAUAAUUACUUGUCCAAUGGAGAUAAGCAAAAAGGCACAACUUCUUCCUCGUUUGAAUGUUAUGACAAUGGGGAAGCUUUUCCUGACAUACAAUUCUGGAAACGUGCUGCGGAUCCUAUUCUUGCUCAUGAUCCUUUUUCUUCUUUUAUGUGGGUUCUUUUCUGCCUCCCAGCCCCUUUUAAAGCCUCAAGAGAAUGUUUCAUUGCUCUUGUGCAUUUAUUUUAUGCUGUUUGCAUUGUUCAGGCUAUGAUUACAUGCUAUGGCAAUCAAAGUUUUGAUGUAUCAAGUUUUGGCAGCAACGUUCUUAAUGAUGUUUGCAGGACAAUGGCAGAAUCCGACCGUGUGAGACAGUAUUUUGUCUCCAGCUAUAUUGAUCACCUUUACCAUCCGAAGGAUAUGAUACGCAGACUAACAUUUCCAUACCUUCGUAGAUGUGCACUACUUUGGAAUUUGCUAAACUCUUCAACAUUGUCCCUGUCAUAUGACAGUCACACAUGGGAAAGGUCAUAUCUUUGUUCAAAAGAUGUACAAUUGGAUAGUGAUAGCCAACUAAGAGUAGAGCUCAAUAAUAUAAGGGAAUUGGAGGACAUGUUUAUGAUUUGCUCAUUGGAAUUGGUUCUCAAGAAUGAGGUUGUGCAUGCCUUGGCUUUGAGAUGGUGUGACCAUUUCUGUGAUGAGUUUGGAGUUCGUAAGUACAGAGGCGUUUUAGCUUCAUCUCCUGCUGUUCCCUUUAAGCUGAUGGAACUUCCUCUCAUCUAUCAGGAUCUACUGAAAAAGUACAUAAAGCUACCAUGCUCUAAUUGCAAGUCUGUCCCAGAGGAACCUGCUUUGUGCUUGCUUUGUGGUAAAUUAUGUUCGCUAUACCGGAAGUCUUGCUGCAGGCAAAGCAAAUGCUUAAAUCAUGCAAUGAUCUGUGGGGCUGGUAUUGGUGUAUUCUUGCUGGUCAGGAAAACCACAAUCUUAUUGCAGAGGUCAGCUCGUCGGACCCUCUGGCCAUCUCUUUAUUUGGAUGCCUUUGGUGAAGAGGACCAUGACAUGUCCCGAGGGAAGCCUUUGUAUCUGAGCAAGGAGCGCUAUGCUGCUCUUACAUAUUUGGUGGCAUCUCAUGGUCUCGACCGGAGUUCUGAAGUGCUUCGACAAACGACCACCAACUUAAAUGGUCUUUAUUAGGAUUAUUUUAAGAGGAGCCAAUGAUGGUGCAGCAUGAGAAUCGUAUGUAUCAGCAGGGCCCUUUUUUCCAAUAAUUAAUUACUACUGAGCAGUGGCAGUGGGCAUACAUCACAUUGCUGCAGGUCUUCUGUGAAGAAGAUGAAGAGAAGUGGCUAGGAAAGAAGCUGAUGGAUCUGUCAAUCAUUGUCACUGGAAUGCUGCUGUCAUCAGGCUUUGCUGUUGGGCAGGUUCCAUUAUGAUGUGCCAUCAAAAAGAGAUCAGGGAUUCAACUGUGCAAGUCUGAAAGAGAAAGAUGUGAGAGAUUUAACUCCCAUGAAGUAAGUGAUUUGAAUUCCAAGAAUUUCUCUUUUCAUGUAAAAGAAAAGAAGAGAAGGAAAAAGAAAAGGGGAAGACAAUGAGAAAAUGAAGAGCAAACUAAAGGAAUAAUUAGAGAAUGAAAAGAAGAGAAAGGAAGAAAUAAAAAAUGAACAAAAGAGGAAACACAUCUUAAAAAGUAGCUGUAAUAAUUACUGUUCAUUGUUAAUUUAAAAUUCUGUAAUACUUAAAUUUUCCUGAUUCAUAGGUUUAUUUAUGGGUGUUUUCCAAACUUCUUCCUACCUUUGUACUGUUAGAACUUGCCACACUCAUCGUCAUUUGCAGCCACCACUGCACUUGUAUCAGCUUUUGGGAACUAAGGCUUAGCUAAGUGAUUUUGAGGGCAACAAAAUUUGAGGUUAGAAAAUAAAUACUCUGUAGAAAAGCAUAUCUUAUCUUGGCACACUUUCAAUUUGGGUCUUGCAAUUUAUGUGAGCUAAUUUUUUUUACAAAUAAUAUAAUAAUGUUUAACUUAAUUGGAGUUAGUGAUGAUAUAGUAUUGAGAUCUUUUGUGUUUUGAUGGAUUACAAGUGGGUAAUGUGCAAUUUUUGGUCUAGCUAGAAUAUUUGGGUCAUGUUAGGGCAUGGUAUAUUUAGAUUUUAAUAAUAUGGUCGUGCUCUUUUUGGUUUUUCUUUUUAUUUUCUUCAUAUUUUUAUUUUUUGACGAUUGAUGGAAAAAUGUUUAACAGAAUUGGAGUUAACAUCGAUUUAAUAUUGAGAACUUUUGCGUUUUGAUGAAUUACAAUUGGGUCAUGUUUGAUUUGGUCUAGCUAGUAGAUAAGGGUCGCAUUAGGGCAUGGUUUUUCUUUUACAAUUGUCCUUUUUAGUUGUCCCUUGGCACUUCUAUGGUGGGUCAGCAAGUUCUUCGUUGCACAUUUUCCAAUUUAUUCCUUUUUUUAAUCUGUAGCCACAAAGUAUUCAUGGUGCUGUUUGUGGAAAUAAUUAAAAGAUAACAGCAUGUAACUGUUUGGCAUCAGAACUGCAGUGAUUAAGAUAAUAUAGGUUUCUGUCAUAUGGAAGAUAAUUGGUGUCAAGGAAGCAAAUAUGGUUACAUUUUCAAAUAAGCUUUCGAUGCCUUGAUUCACAACAGAUCCUGAAUUGGUGGGAGCUUCAUGCAGUAGGGAUGCUGUUUACAGUAUCCCUUGUACAAUGUGUGUGAAAGUAGUUAGUUGGCAAGAACCUAGAUAAGUUGCAAAGCACUUUCUUUUUUGGUGAACUAUGCAUAUGAGUAUUUGCUUUGAAGAGAAUAUUGGAACAAUAGUGCAAAAAUAUUUUGUUAAGAAAAUAUCUAAAAUCUUGUUUACAGCUGUGCAGUGUUUAAUUAAACAAUUUUGUUGUUUUGAGCUUUUACUUAAUCAAGCUGGAAAUUUUCAUUUUUGUGCCCCCAAAAAAAAAAAAAUCUAAGUCUUGCUUUUACUGCUGCUCAGAACUAUACAAGUAUAUAAGUUAUAGUUUUGGUAUAUAUUCAGCAUGACCAAAUGGUGAAAUUAUGACAAAUUUCUAGGGUUGUCUUUUCAUUUUUGACUCAAAUACUAUCUUGUAACAUAUACUAGUAAUUCCAUUUUUUUUAAUUUUUCUUUAUGAUAUGAUGUUAUGGGUCCAGAGUGUGGAAAUGAUGGUGAUUUCGUUCACUGAUCUAAGCUAAAUUAAUGUACUCUUGUGCUGGAGCUCAUCUGUGUAAUAUCUACCCUUUUUCUUUUAAGAGAAAGGUUCAGUAAUGGUGUAUGGACAAAUAUGUGAGCCAACAAGCUAAGGCGACUCUUAUCUACUAUUUAUGUUAUGAACUUUUCCCCCCUUUUCUGUUAAUUUGCUAUAAGACAUAUUGGUGUUAUUUCUGAACUGUAGAACUAUCUCGUUUGAUUUCCACAUCAAGCCUUUGUUGACCUUGAAAUCUCGUGAUUCAACUAGUUACCAGCUUGAUGCAGCAGCUUCUCCUAAUUGUUACAAUUGCUUGCUUAGUUACCAGCUUGUCCUAAUUGUUUACCUUGCCUUGGAUGCCUCUCUUCUCUCCAAAGAUUGGCCACUUGGUUCUGCAGUGCAGUCCUCAUGUUUGAUGCCUUCCAUGGGUGAUUUGUGGUGUCUUGGUUGCCCUGCUAAUGCCGACCGUGCCAUUGUUCUCCUGCAGUUCAAGCUAGCACAGAUUGCAAUACUGCUUGUGCAUAUCUUUUUCUAAGCAGCUUUUGUUGCUUGUAAAUGAAAGGGAUGUUUGGGUUGAUAAUGUAUACAUCAUGUGUAGAUCGUAAAUCCGGAUGAUGAUGAACUUGUAGCGUAACAAGUGACGAGUAUGGGAUUAUGGAAUUGUUAAUAGAGCUUCUUGUGCCUUUUUUUUCUGCUAA